Oncorhynchus tshawytscha (Chinook salmon) is the source of this 681-nucleotide long non-coding RNA. Lineage: Eukaryota; Metazoa; Chordata; Actinopteri; Salmoniformes; Salmonidae. The record is from Ensembl.
GUCAGGAGGCUCCCAGCCAGACCCCCUGCCCCUGUAGAACACAUCUGCUGCUGCCUGAGGAACACACAGGUCAGGAGGCUCCCAGCCAGACCACCCUGCCCCUGUAGAAGACACCUGCUGCUGCCUGAGGAACACACAGGUCAGGAGGCUCCCAGCCAGACCACCCUGCCCCUGUAGAAGACACCUGCUGCUGCCUGAGGAAAACACAGGUCAGGAGGCUCCCAGCCAGACCACCCUGCCCCUGUAGAAGACACCUGUUGCUGCCUGAGGAACACACAAGUCAGGAGGCUCCCAGCCAGACCACCCUGCCCCUGUAGAAGACACCUGUUGCUGCCUGAGGAACACACAGAGUCUCCAGUUGAGGGGGGCUACCAACUGUACCCACCGCUGCCAUCCAACCAGCUGCAUUUGAUCCCCCCAGCCACCUGGAGUGUGGCCAACCAAUGACUUUCCCACAAUUUACCUGUGGAUUCAAGAGAAACUCCCCAGUCUGGCCCGGAAAAAAAGAGUUGUUGUUCCAGCACUCCGCCACCAGAUGGGGCAGUCAUAUUAAGAACCCAGGUGGGGAGAAGGGAAGAAGGACUUGAUGAUGCCAUUGCCAAUGGUUGAAGGUAACUUGACCAAGAUUGGGGUGAGAGUGGAGGAUGAGCUGGAAAGAAGGAGAGGAGAGCUGAAUGAGCG